RNAcentral lists this transfer RNA (90 nucleotides) under Candidatus Uhrbacteria bacterium CG_4_10_14_0_2_um_filter_41_21. RNAcentral's name for it is "tRNA-Ser". It matches the Rfam family "tRNA". Rfam says of the family: Transfer RNA (tRNA) molecules are approximately 80 nucleotides in length. Their secondary structure includes four short double-helical elements and three loops (D, anti-codon, and T loops). Further hydrogen bonds mediate the characteristic L-shaped molecular structure. tRNAs have two regions of fundamental functional importance: the anti-codon, which is responsible for specific mRNA codon recognition, and the 3' end, to which the tRNAs corresponding amino acid is attached (by aminoacyl-tRNA synthetases). tRNAs cope with the degeneracy of the genetic code in two manners: having more than one tRNA (with a specific anti-codon) for a particular amino acid; and 'wobble' base-pairing, i.e. permitting non-standard base-pairing at the 3rd anti-codon position. The record is from RNAcentral. RNAcentral also lists the same sequence under 1 other name. Lineage: Bacteria; Candidatus Uhriibacteriota.
GGAGAGGUGGCAGAGCGGUCGAACGCGCCACCUUGGAAAGGUGGUGUACUUGAAAAGGUACCGCGGGUUCGAAUCCCGCCCUCUCCGCCA